UACAGAGGUCCCAAGCGUUGUUCGGAUUCACUGGGCGUAAAGGGUGCGUAGGCGGUUUGAUAAGUCUGAUGUGAAAUCCCGCAGCUUAACUGCGGAACUGCAUUGGAAACUAUUUGACUAGAGGAAUGGAGGGGAGACUGGAAUACUUGGUGUAGCAGUGAAAUGCGUAGAUAUCAGGAGGAAUACCGAUGGCGAAGGCAGGUCUCUGGGCUGACACUGACGCUCAUGCACGAAAGCGUGGGGAGCAAACAGG
This 253-nucleotide ribosomal RNA is filed under the name uncultured bacterium. RNAcentral describes it as "partial 16S ribosomal RNA". It matches the Rfam family "Bacterial small subunit ribosomal RNA", at positions 524 to 776 of the family's 1533-position model. The record is from RNAcentral.